AUUGAACGCUGGCGGCAUGCUUUACACAUGCAAGUCGAACGGUAACAGGUCUUCGGAUGCUGACGAGUGGCGAACGGGUGAGUAAUGCAUCGGAACGUGCCCAGUCGUGGGGGAUAACGCAGCGAAAGCUGUGCUAAUACCGCAUACGAUCUAUGGAUGAAAGCGGGGGAUCGCAAGACCUCGCGCGAUUGGAGCGGCCGAUGUCAGAUUAGCUAGUUGGUGGGGUAAAGGCCCACCAAGGCGACGAUCUGUAGCUGGUCUGAGAGGACGACCAGCCACACUGGGACUGAGACACGGCCCAGACUCCUACGGGAGGCAGCAGUGGGGAAUUUUGGACAAUGGGGGCAACCCUGAUCCAGCAAUGCCGCGUGAGUGAAGAAGGCCUUCGGGUUGUAAAGCUCUUUUGUCAGGGAAGAAACGGUGAGUCCUAAUACGGCUUGCUAAUGACGGUACCUGAAGAAUAAGCACCGGCUAACUACGUG
This 482-nucleotide ribosomal RNA is filed under the name uncultured bacterium. RNAcentral describes it as "bacterial SSU rRNA". It matches the Rfam family "Bacterial small subunit ribosomal RNA", at positions 30 to 507 of the family's 1533-position model. The record is from RNAcentral.